RNAcentral lists this long non-coding RNA (1449 nucleotides) under Xyrichtys novacula (pearly razorfish). The record is from RNAcentral. Lineage: Eukaryota; Metazoa; Chordata; Actinopteri; Labriformes; Labridae.
AGAUUUAUUUAACCCUUGCGCCCGACGGUCCCUCUCCCGGGCCGAGAUUUUGCUGCAUACAUUUAAACGCUGUAAAAAAUGUAUUGAAACUUGACCGCGGUGUUUACUUUCAAUUCUCAAUCAAAGUUUAGACUCUAAUGUUCACAGAACUGGGUCGGAUGUCUGUUUUUAGUGUAAACGUUACCUUUUUAUGACGAUUUUAAUCUGUCUUGGUGUCUCUGUCUGGGCAUUUAAAUUUUGCGACAUCGACCGAAUCAAAGCUUUACAGUGUAGCGGAGACAGGCUCCGUCCGGCCAUGUCUGUAGUCAUUUGAAAGGGGAGAACCUACUGAAUCGAUUGGCAUCAAUCUUUCCAAAGACUACAUUUCCCAGCUUUGAAAAAAGCCGGGCGUAAAGUGUUCGUAAUCUGUGCGCUUUUAGGUGCAGCGCCCCACAGACGAAGGCAGGAUGCUGCAUCGCACACUGAUCACUCGGGGCUCUCCUGUAAACUUUCUACACCACUUAUAAAACUUCUCUUGAGUACUUUUCAACCAGGAAAAGAAACAUUCAACUCUUAGAGGGAUAUGGCGGAAAUUUUAUUAGAAAUUCAGCGGGGCUCAGACGGUGAAUCUGAGGACUCGUCUGACUCAGUAAUGGCGUCGGCUCCGAGGAGGAGGCAUUGUUUACAUCAGAAGUGGACCCAGUUUACUAGUAAGUAUUUGCAUUUAUCUAUAAAGCCGUGUUGUGUAAAUUGAUAUGCAUGGAACACCUUUGUCAUAAAACUGUAAACACCGUAGUAAGUAUGGCAAUCCAAUAGCAUCGAAUAUUACUGCAGUUUCACUAUAUCUGUUUAUUUUGGGCUUACUUUGCUUGCAGAUACUGCAUUUUAUCUGUCUUUGAAUAUAUUCUUUAUGAGAAAAAUAAAUGAAGUACAUAUAAAUGCAAACAAAAUAUAGAAGAGCUACUCAAUUUAGUGAAUAAGUUUACAUAUAUCCACAACUUUUGUGUCCUUCAGUGAAAUGUACAAAUGUUAUUUAUUUUUGUUCUGCAUAGUAAUUGAUCACCAUUUUCACAGCCACCAAGAAGAGGGGAGUGAGGCACAUCCACCCCCACCCCCCAUCAGGGGUUUUCACACCUUCAGUACUCCCUGCACCAGACGCCCCACCCCCACCCUUACCUGCAAGAAAGGUGACAUUGCUUGUAUCAAGGUUUGUGUACUGAUCAUUUGUUUGAUUCUGGUCUCUAAAAGAAAUAAUACACUCUUUACUGCUUCAAUUUUGCAUUUAUAUGUAUUCAUUACAUUUAAUUUACUCUACCUGUGUUUGCUGUAUUUUAUAUUGUUAUAUAUUGUUUUUAAUUUACAAUAUUUGUUGCACUUUUACUUUUUAUUUUACAUUGUUUGCUCAGAAUGUUUGUUUGUUUCUCUUUUUGCACUUUUUUCAAAUAAAGAUACUCCCUGUGAAGAAAGAAA